AUGGGGAUGCUGUCGCUGAAUCGCAUCUUGUUAAAGCAGGAGCGGAGGCGACGCCUUCGGCGAAUCCAAGCCCACAAUGAAUUGAUUACUAAAGUGCCAGAUAAAAAGGACUCACUCUGCCAACAAGAUGAUCAGUCACAGGGUGGUGAUAGGUCGACAUCUUCAGGGCCGAAUCUACCUGAGGAUAUCUGGUGCCUUGUACAUUCCCUAAUGCCAUUGUGUGAUUCUGCCCACUCUGCCUGUGUGUCUCGCACAUUUCUACGUUCUUGGAGAUGCCACCCCAAGCUUAUCUUCAGUGAGGAAGCACUAGGUUUGAAACAGAAGGAAGGACGAAAUAUCAAUAUAGCAUGGGAUUUCACUAGCAGAGUUAAUCAAAGGGCAGCCCGGUGCAUGUAG
Molecule: ribosomal RNA, 396 nt
Filed under: Triticum aestivum (bread wheat)
Lineage: Eukaryota; Viridiplantae; Streptophyta; Magnoliopsida; Poales; Poaceae
Description: partial small subunit ribosomal RNA
Source: RNAcentral